UCGGGCUCAUAACCCGAAGGUCGUGGGUUCAAAUCCCUCCUCCGCAACCA
RNAcentral lists this transfer RNA (50 nucleotides) under Clostridiales bacterium. RNAcentral's name for it is "tRNA-Leu". It matches the Rfam family "tRNA", at positions 26 to 71 of the family's 71-position model. From Rfam's summary of the family: Transfer RNA (tRNA) molecules are approximately 80 nucleotides in length. Their secondary structure includes four short double-helical elements and three loops (D, anti-codon, and T loops). Further hydrogen bonds mediate the characteristic L-shaped molecular structure. tRNAs have two regions of fundamental functional importance: the anti-codon, which is responsible for specific mRNA codon recognition, and the 3' end, to which the tRNAs corresponding amino acid is attached (by aminoacyl-tRNA synthetases). tRNAs cope with the degeneracy of the genetic code in two manners: having more than one tRNA (with a specific anti-codon) for a particular amino acid; and 'wobble' base-pairing, i.e. permitting non-standard base-pairing at the 3rd anti-codon position. Lineage: Bacteria; Bacillati; Bacillota; Clostridia; Eubacteriales. The record is from RNAcentral.